This 318-nucleotide long non-coding RNA is filed under the name Homo sapiens (human). Lineage: Eukaryota; Metazoa; Chordata; Mammalia; Primates; Hominidae. The record is from RNAcentral.
UCUAGAUUAUGGAUCUUCAGAUAAAUUCUGCCAUUUUCAUUUAACUUCCUGAAAGUCAGGGUCGGCUUGUGAAAAGUUGUUAAACAACAUGCUAAAUGUGAAAUGUCAACCCUCACUCUAAACUUUCCCUGUUCAGAGCAUCAGAUGAAGACUUCAUUGGGUUUUAUAGUGGCUUUCUGAUUUUUGGUAGUCCAUUGAAGAAGGGAGUUUGAAAGUUGUUGUAUACUGUUAACGAUUGUCUGCCCAUGUCCUGCCUGAAAUACCAUGAUUGUUUAUGGAAAGUAUCUUUAAUAAAGCUGGAUACAGUUUGGCUUGGGA